This 24-nucleotide non-coding RNA is filed under the name Cricetulus griseus (Chinese hamster). Lineage: Eukaryota; Metazoa; Chordata; Mammalia; Rodentia; Cricetidae. The record is from RNAcentral.
UUGAGGCGUGUAGGGGUGGGAAGG